GUGCCAGCAGCCGCGGUAAUACGUAGGUUGCGAGCGUUAUUCGGAUUUACUGGGCGUAAAGCGCACCGAGGUGGCUUCUUAAGUUGGAUGUAAAAUCUCCCGGCUUAACUGGGAGGCGCCAUUCAAUACUGAGGAGCUUGAGGUCAGCAGGGGAAAGUGGAAUUCCCGGUGUAGUGGUGGAAUGCGUAGAGAUCGGGAGGAACACCAGUGGCGAAAGCGACUUUCUGGGCUGCACCUGACACUCUAGUGCGAAAGCGUGGGGAGCAAACAGGAUUAGAAACCCGCGUAGUCC
This 292-nucleotide ribosomal RNA is filed under the name uncultured bacterium. RNAcentral's name for it is "partial 16S ribosomal RNA". It matches the Rfam family "Bacterial small subunit ribosomal RNA", at positions 505 to 796 of the family's 1533-position model. The record is from RNAcentral.